RNAcentral lists this long non-coding RNA (1621 nucleotides) under Cyanistes caeruleus (blue tit). RNAcentral's name for it is "lncRNA (ENSCCEG00000018903.1)". The record is from RNAcentral. Lineage: Eukaryota; Metazoa; Chordata; Aves; Passeriformes; Paridae.
AUGUUGUUGGCCGUUCCCUCCUCCCGCUCAGUAAACACUUUAUGUAAGGCAGGGAGAACUGGAGGCAUCCGUACGGGCAAAAACCUUCCACGCUCCCCCUCCUCCAAACUCAGGUUUUCCCUGGCAGCUGGAAAACUCCCAAGCCAACCUAGAAUUUGCUUUGCAGAUCAGCGAAGCACCCGAGGGGGGAUGAGUUCGAACGGCCCGGCGCCGACCCCAGCACUCGAGCCGGCGCUCGGCAUCUCAGCUGCCAAAACCUGCCCACCGCCCUCCUGGAUGCGCGUCCCUCCUUCCUCCGCCCGGCUCCUGCAGCUGCUUGUCCCAGGGCCGAGAGACGGGCCCGGAAGGUUUGGCUGUGGCACAGACCUGCCCGGCCAGCAGCACGCCGGGACCUGCCACCGCGUCCCACGCAGCCAAAAGCUCACCUGUCGGAGCUGGCCACGGGCUCGGAAGAUGCAGGGACACCCCUCGUGUGCCUGUCACCCCCAGCCACAACCUGCUGGGUGGGAAGGACACCCACCCCGCCAGGCACAGUUAAAACCAUGGCCUCAGCCCCUCUGUUACUUGGACACGGAGGAUCUCACCGGUGUCUGUGCCAAAACAGUGUGUAAAUUUACCUAAGAGCAACUUUUUGGGCCACAGAGCUGCUGGGGAAAAAAAACUCAUGAAGCCAAGGACUCCUCUAUAGCAGUAGCCCAUGGGGCAGGAAUUUGCUCCCCACCAUAAACGGGGCACAGUUUGCACUCGACGUGAGCCAGGGCACUCGCUGAGCCCCUCAGUACAUCUCCACCCUUCCUCCUCCUCCUCUUCCUCCUCCUUCUCCUUCUUCUCAGCCCCUCCCCCUGCAGCCUGCAAAAGCGCUGAGCUCAGCACAUCCCGGGCAGGGGCCCAGCCAAGGACCCUCCCCAGUGCCAGCCGCUCCCCCUCCCCGGCUCCUGCUUAACCCUUCGCAAAGCCGGGCUGGAAACCAGAAGGAUCGAGUCAAUCUCAUCACAGACGGGGACAGGCACAGCUGGCUGGGAACAGACUGUCCAGAAAGCCUCAAUCUCUGUCUGCUCUCCCAGAAAGGACAGCAGGUCAGGGGGAAAGACACACUGCUCAUCCACAGAAACCACGCUGGGUUUACUGCCAGCAGCAGGACCAGGGGUGGGGAAGUGCAGGGAUUACCAACACUGUAGCUAAAACUUUACUUUCCAGCCCAAAACCAUUCCUGGAGGCCCUGCUGCAGAGGAGUGGCCUGGAUCUCAGCUUCUUUUGGGAAGCAGAAAGAGCUGCCAGCCCCACAUUGCCUCCCCUCCCCUCCCAGCUGGAUUCUUUUAUUGUGUGGAUCAAAAACUGCAUUUCCCCACUAAAACUUGCCAUCACACCAGAGCUGCUUGCUCCGCUGCCUACUAGGAGAUGUUAUGGCAAAGAAAGAAAAAUAUUUAUGCUUGGCUCCAGAAUUCCAGCUUAUUUUUAGCAAGGCGCCCUCCCUGUGGUCCUUUACCUCUUUUUUGUUUAUUUGCUGCCUUCCCUCUGUUUUGACCCCCCCAAAAGCAGCAGAUUCUCAUCUAUUUUCAGCUUCACCCAGCCGACGCUCGUACCAAUGACUUGGUGGCUGCGGGGAGAAAUAACCCACCAG